RNAcentral lists this long non-coding RNA (1184 nucleotides) under Apteryx haastii (Great spotted kiwi). Its description in RNAcentral is "lncRNA (ENSAHAG00000001776.1)". The record is from RNAcentral. Lineage: Eukaryota; Metazoa; Chordata; Aves; Apterygiformes; Apterygidae.
GCAUGCUCAGAUCUGCACGGCUGCUGCUGGCAGCAUGUUGGGUGCAUCACUGUGCCAGGGCCAAGGCCACCCCACAGGCACUGGCUGAAGCCCCCGUCCCUCUUGCCUGCUCUCACCUCCAGCCUGGAGCCACGACAAGCCCAGCUCCACUCGUGCCCUCCCCUCGCGGCCGGGACGGCGCUGACAAAUGGCCACCACAGCCGGCACUGAGCCGCGGGGCCGCCAGCACAAGGGCGCAAGAGCCAGGGGCUCCCGCGGGGCCGCAGGCGGCCCAGGCCGGGCUGGGCCUUCCCCAGCAGCUGCUCGCACACACCGGGCCGCGGCGGCUCCGGCUGCCCCCGCGUGCACAGCCGCUCGCUCUGCCCAGCCCGCGGCCCUCGGCCCUCAGCCCUCGGUCCCGGCGCGUCAGCUCGCGGCGCUGCAGCUCGAGGCUCCGGGCAGCCCCACGUCGGGAGACGCUGCCCCGCGCGGCACCAGCCACCUCUCGCCCCCUCCCUCCCUGCAGGGCCCGGGCAGCCACGGCCCCGCCCCCACCCCGCCCCUCGCCACCCUCCUCUGCGCCAGUGCGCACGCUCCGAGGAAGGAGGCGGCACUUCCGUCCCCCUGGGGGCAGGGCCUGUGUGUCCAUGGCCACCGCCCCUGGUGCUGCCAGCCCCGCCCCCGCUGGGCCCCGCUGCGGCGCCGCUCUCGAGGCUGCGGAGAAGCAGCUGCGGCAGCGGUGGGUGUUGGCGGCUGCUGCGCAGGGAGCCCGGAGCAGCGCUGCGGCCUGGCGUGUGCUCGUGUGGUCGGAGCCUGUGGCGGCUGCUGCUGGCUGGGGCCGGGGCGGAAGGCGGGGAGCGAGGGGGAGCGGCGCCAGGGGCAGGGAGCGAGGGGGAGCGGCGCCGGGCUGGCCCUGGGCUGAGGGAGUUGUGCUGCAGGGGAGCGUCGGCGGGGAAACGCUGCUGCCGGGGCGCUGCUGCCACAGGGCCCCACUCUGCCACGGGGCCUGGGCGAGUCUCUGCAAGGGGACGCACGUGCACGUCACGGGAGCCCCGGGAGGCCGCAGCCUUUUUUUCAGAAGUGGGUGAACAACCCAGGGGCCAUCGCAGCCUUUGGCAUUAUCUGCCGUGAGCGGGUGGCCCUGAAAUUUUGUCUCCAUCAGCAGCCCAAGAAAGRGGCUGGAGGGGGGAUCCCAGAGUGUCCCU